GAUGCAGGUAACCAGGAUCAGCAUCCAGCGCAUCGUUGAUCCAGUUGAACUUCAGAGUUGUUGGUGAGCCUCAUUGCAUUCCGAAGGAUCCCCAUUUUUUCAUUACUUUAUCAUUUUAGUUCAUUAGGAUGUCGUGGGCCUGUCCCGACAUCCAUCUCAGUUGUUUUAGAGGAUUCAUAGAUAGUCAGUCAGAUGUUAGUUCAUUCGUCAUCAUUUUGUUAUUGGCUUAUGUUCAGAUUUGAGUUGCCAUUUUGGCUAAGUUAAAUGUUUAUUUUUAAAAUAUUAUGAGUUUAGUUUGAG
Molecule: long non-coding RNA, 300 nt
Filed under: Solanum tuberosum (potato)
Lineage: Eukaryota; Viridiplantae; Streptophyta; Magnoliopsida; Solanales; Solanaceae
Description: long non-coding RNA (STUB_LNC006497)
Source: RNAcentral